GGAGUGGAGCUUAAAUACUGGUGACUGCAGGUUCUGAGAGUUCUUCACCCCAACUGGACGAUUUUCCCUUCGACUUGAACUGUGGUGGAUGACUCCUCUGUCCUCGGCCAAGGUAAUGGCUGCCCGUUACUGAGUGUACCUGAUGUCUGGCUGGAUUCGUUGGGACACCUUUGCCCUCUCUGGACAAUGCCGUGCAGACCGGCAACUCCAUACAACUUCUCUGUCAACACCUGGGUCGCUUCGAUCUACUUUGUCGCACUGAUGAUUCUGGUCCAGAACUGCACCACCUGAUUGUGAUGGUCAUAAUGCAGGCUCUAGAGGAGAGCA
This is a long non-coding RNA of Austrofundulus limnaeus, 327 nucleotides long. RefSeq lists it as uncharacterized. The record is from RefSeq and is a predicted model, not a curated record. Lineage: Eukaryota; Metazoa; Chordata; Actinopteri; Cyprinodontiformes; Rivulidae. The transcript is spliced from 3 exons.